RNAcentral lists this ribosomal RNA (661 nucleotides) under Bacillus thuringiensis. RNAcentral describes it as "bacterial SSU rRNA". It matches the Rfam family "Bacterial small subunit ribosomal RNA", at positions 88 to 735 of the family's 1533-position model. Lineage: Bacteria; Bacillati; Bacillota; Bacilli; Caryophanales; Bacillaceae. The record is from RNAcentral.
GAAGUUAGCGGCGGACGGGUGAGUAACACGUGGGUAACCUGCCCAUAAGACUGGGAUAACUCCGGGAAACCGGGGCUAAUACCGGAUAACAUUUUGAACUGCAUGGUUCGAAAUUGAAAGGCGGCUUCGGCUGUCACUUAUGGAUGGACCCGCGUCGCAUUAGCUAGUUGGUGAGGUAACGGCUCACCAAGGCAACGAUGCGUAGCCGACCUGAGAGGGUGAUCGGCCACACUGGGACUGAGACACGGCCCAGACUCCUACGGGAGGCAGCAGUAGGGAAUCUUCCGCAAUGGACGAAAGUCUGACGGAGCAACGCCGCGUGAGUGAUGAAGGCUUUCGGGUCGUAAAACUCUGUUGUUAGGGAAGAACAAGUGCUAGUUGAAUAAGCUGGCACCUUGACGGUACCUAACCAGAAAGCCACGGCUAACUACGUGCCAGCAGCCGCGGUAAUACGUAGGUGGCAAGCGUUAUCCGGAAUUAUUGGGCGUAAAGCGCGCGCAGGUGGUUUCUUAAGUCUGAUGAGGAAAGUGGAAUUCCAUGCGUGGAGGGUCAUUGGAAACUGGGAGACUUGAGUACCAGUGUGAAAGCCCACGGCUCAACUGUAGCGGUGAAAUGCGUAGAGAUAUGGAGGAACGCAGAAGGCGAAGGCGACUUUCUGGUC